UACAGAGGGUGCAAGCGUUGUUCGGAAUCAUUGGGCGUAAAGGGCGCGUAGGCGGCCUUGUAAGUCGAAUGUGAAAGCCCAGGGCUCAACCUUGGAAGUGCAUCCGAAACUGCAGGGCUCGAAUCUCGGAGAGGGUGGUGGAAUUCCCAGUGUAGAGGUGAAAUUCGUAGAUAUUGGGAGGAACACCGGUGGCGAAGGCGACCACCUGGACGAAGAUUGACGCUGAGGCGCGAAAGCGUGGGGAGCAAACAGG
Molecule: ribosomal RNA, 253 nt
Filed under: uncultured bacterium
Lineage: Bacteria
Description: partial 16S ribosomal RNA
Rfam family: Bacterial small subunit ribosomal RNA
Source: RNAcentral